UGCUAUUCUUGUGACAGUGAGUGAGUUCUCAAGAGAUCUGACAGUUUUAUAAGGGUCUUUUCCCCUUUUGCUCAGCACUUCUCCUUCCUGCCUGCCACCAUGUGAAGAAGGAUGUGUUUGCUUCCCCUUCCACCAUGACUGUAAGUUUCCUGAGGCCUCCCCAGCCAUGCUGAACGCAGCCUCAGCACCCCCUGGGAGCUCGAGACAUCUAAGGAGUUGACUGAGGCCCCUCCCUGACAUACUGAAGCGGAAUCUGCAUUUUAGCAAGAUCUGCAGACAGACUGCGGAACUGCCCAUGAGGCCAAGCACCUAUUAGUAGACCAAGAAGCAUCACCCAUCCAUGGCCUAAGUCGGCAGCCAGCUAUUGUUCUCAUCUGAGUCUGGGAGUUCAGGAUUUCCAUCCUGACCCGGCUACUUUCUUUCAACAGUUACCCACUGUAAAUUUCCGAAUACUUUCAGCUACUAAUCCCAGUGUACCCAAUUAAAAAUGGCUUUCCUAAUAAAGGCAUUUCAGAUCGAAUUUA
RNAcentral lists this long non-coding RNA (524 nucleotides) under Homo sapiens (human). RNAcentral's name for it is "lncAB218.1". The record is from RNAcentral. Lineage: Eukaryota; Metazoa; Chordata; Mammalia; Primates; Hominidae.